AGCCAGAGGGAAACAAACGCCGGCGCUGACAGGGGCCGCCAGCCCCUCCGCCGCGCGGAGCCCACGAAGGGGACAGCGCAGCCGGCCCAGAGCUCGGGUCUCCGGGGACCGAGGAAUGGGGUGUGUGUCGGUGUGGGCAGGAGCGCAGCAAUCGGCGGCGCGCGGCCCGCGAUCUCCGCGAGGGGGGCGUGUGUGCGCCCGGAGUUCUCCAUGAAUAAGAACCGAAUUCUCCGCCUGUACGGGCAGAGGCGUGUACACAUCUCGCUCUCGUACACACACUGCAGCACACGCCACCCAAUGUCACCCGGCCGGGAAGCCAGAGGGAAGGAGCUGUCUGGAAGGGAAUGGCCGAAGGAACAAAUGGUCCUCCUUUCCCCUACUCCCGCCCCGCGAACCCUUCCCUCCCCCGCCAGGCUCCCGCCCCGCCCGCUCCCUCGGAAGCCCGGGAGGCCGAGGCGCCUCCUGGCGGGGUGCGGGGGGAGGGCAGUCGAGCCACCCGCCCCCUUGGAGCCGGGGAGACGGCCGCUCCUGGGCUAGUGCGCCCCGAGCUCAGCGCGCUCAGCGGGAUCGCA
RNAcentral lists this long non-coding RNA (572 nucleotides) under Homo sapiens (human). RNAcentral describes it as "non-protein coding lnc-SDK2-8:1". The record is from RNAcentral. Lineage: Eukaryota; Metazoa; Chordata; Mammalia; Primates; Hominidae.